This 371-nucleotide ribosomal RNA is filed under the name uncultured bacterium. RNAcentral's name for it is "bacterial SSU rRNA". It matches the Rfam family "Bacterial small subunit ribosomal RNA", at positions 527 to 896 of the family's 1533-position model. The record is from RNAcentral.
AGAGGUGGCAAGCGUUGUUCGGAAUUACUGGGCGUAAAGGGCGCGUAGGCGGUCUUGCAAGUCCCGUGUGAAAUCCCUCGGCUCAACUGGGGAACUGCACGGGAAACUGUUUGGCUUGAGUUCGGGAGAGGGAAGCGGAAUUCCGGGUGUAGCGGUGAAAUGCGUAGAUAUCCGGAGGAACACCGGUGGCGAAGGCGGCUUCCUGGACCGAUACUGACGCUGAGGCGCGAAAGCUAGGGGAGCAAACGGGAUUAGAUACCCCGGUAGUCCUAGCUGUAAACGAUGAGUGCUGGGUGUAGAGGGUAUUAACCCCUUCUGUGCCGAAGCUAACGCAUUAAGCACUCCGCCUGGGGAGUACGGUCGCAAGGCUG